UCGAGGAUCUUCGGCAAUGGGGGCAACCCUGACCGAGCGAUGCCGCGUGCGCGAUGAAGGCCUUCGGGUUGUAAAUCGCUUUAGUGGGGGAGAAAAGCCGCAAGGUGUGAUCUAUCCCAAAAAUAAGCUCGGGCUAAGUUCGUGCCAGCAGCCGCGGUAAGACGAACCGAGCGAACGUUGUUCGGAAUCACUGUGCUUAAAGGGCGCGUAGGCGGGCUAUCAAGUCUGGGGUGAAAUCCCACGGCUCAACCGUGGAACUGCCUCAGAUACUGACGGCCUCGAGGGAGGUAGGGGAGUGCGGAACUGUAGGUGGAGCGGUGAAAUGCGUUGAUAUCUACAGGAACUCCGGGGGCGAGAGCGGCGUGCUGGACCUCUUCUGACGCUGAGGCGCGAAAGCUAGGGGAGCAAACG
Molecule: ribosomal RNA, 411 nt
Filed under: uncultured bacterium
Lineage: Bacteria
Description: bacterial SSU rRNA
Rfam family: Bacterial small subunit ribosomal RNA
Source: RNAcentral